AAAAAGAACUUAACAACGCGCUUUUUGGUUUGUAAGAAACGCGCCUUGUUUCGUUUCAUUCUUCUUCUCCUUCCCUCGUCAUCUUCCCCUAUUUCUGCAUCUGAGCACAAUCUCAGUCUCUCUCUCUCUUCUCUCUCCCUCUGAAACUGAUUGGAUUGUUUGGGGUUUCAAAUCCCUAAUCUUGUUUUUCUUCAACAAAAAAAGAUAAUAUACCUUCGAGUAUUCGGAGGUUUUGAGCUGCAACUUUUUCAUGAGCCACCGCCACCGUCCAACGGUAUCCGACUCGCCCCACCGGCCUGGACCUCCGGCCCAGACCGAGCUGGAGUCGGAACCGUAUAACAUAAUUCCGGUGAACAAUCUUCUUGCUGACCACCCGUCCCUCCGCUUCCCCGAGGUACGCGCUGCUGCGGCCGCUCUACGGGCUGUUGGGAAUCUUCGUAAGCCGCCUUUCGCCCAAUGGCUUCCCCAGAUGGACCUGCUCGAUUGGCUGGCACUCUUCUUUGGGUUCCAGAAGGACAACGUUCGGAACCAGAGGGAGCACCUGGUUCUUCACCUGGCCAAUGCUCAGAUGCGCCUCACGCCGCCUCCGGACAACAUCGAUACCCUGGACGCUGCCGUUUUGAGACGCUUUCGCAGGAAGCUUCUCAAGAAUUACACCGAAUGGUGCUAUUAUCUUGGGAAGAAGUCCAACAUUUGGAUCUCGGACCGGCGAGAAGCUGCUGCGGAUCAACGGCGGGAGCUUCUUUACGUUUCGCUGUAUCUUCUCAUAUGGGGUGAGUCUGCUAACCUCAGAUUUGUUCCUGAGUGUUUGUGUUACAUAUUUCAUAAUAUGGCCAUGGAGUUGAAUAAGAUUUUGGAGGAUUAUAUUGAUGAGAAUACGGGCCAGCCCGUGAUGCCUUCGAUUUCGGGUGAGAACGCUUUCUUGAACUUUGUUGUGACACCAAUAUAUGAGACGAUUAAGGCUGAAGUUGAGAGUAGUAGGAAUGGGACUGCCGCGCAUAGUGUUUGGAGGAAUUAUGAUGAUAUAAAUGAGUACUUCUGGAGUAAGAGGUGUUUUGAGAAGUUGAAAUGGCCUAUUGAUGUGGGGAGCAACUUCUUCGUGACCUCAACUAGGAAAAGGCAUGUGGGUAAGACUGGGUUUGUGGAGCAAAGGUCGUUUUGGAACUUGUACAGGAGCUUUGACAGGCUUUGGAUUAUGCUCAUUUUGUUUCUUCAGGCUGCCAUUAUUGUUGCGUGGGAAGGAACUGAUUACCCUUGGCAGGCUCUGAAACAUCGCGAAGUACAGGUCCGUAUCUUGACCGUGUUCUUUACUUGGAGUGGUUUGAGGUUCUUUCAGUCGUUGCUUGAUGCAGCAAUGCAAUACACUUUGGUGUCAAGAGAGACUUUGGGGCUUGGGGUGAGGUUGGUGUUGAAAAGUAUUGUUGCUGCUGGAUGGAUUGUAGUGUUUGGGGUGUUCUAUGGUAGGAUAUGGACGCAGAGAAAUCAAGAUAGACGUUGGUCACCUGAGGCAAAUCGGAGGGUGGUCACUUUUCUUGAGGUGGUUCUGGUUUUUAUUCUUCCCGAGCUUCUAGCACUUGCUCUUUUCAUUAUUCCAUGGAUUCGAAAUUUUGUUGAGCAGACUAACUGGAGGAUUUUUCGCAUGUUAUCAUGGUGGUUUCAGAGUAGAAUCUUUGUUGGUCGGGGGCUGAGGGAAGGUCUUGUGGACAAUAUAAAGUACACUUUGUUUUGGGUUGUGGUGCUGGCUACAAAAUUUUGCUUCAGUUAUUUUAUGCAGAUAAAACCCAUGGUUGCUCCAUCAAAAACACUCUUGGACCUUAAGAACUUGAAGUAUGAAUGGCAUCAGUUCUUUGGUAGCAGUAACAGAUUUGCAGUUGGGUUACUCUGGAUUCCUGUUGUUUUGAUUUACCUCAUGGAUUUGCAGAUAUGGUAUUCCAUUUACUCCUCUUUUGUUGGGGCAGGAGUGGGUUUGUUUGCACACUUGGGUGAGAUUAGGAACAUCCAGCAAUUGAGACUCAGGUUCCAAUUCUUUGCAAGUGCAAUUCAAUUCAAUCUCAUGCCAGAGGAACAACUCUUAAAUGCUAGGGGGACAUUAAGGAAUAAGUUCAAUGAUGCUAUUAACCGGUUGAAGCUGAGGUAUGGAUUUGGCCAGCCGUACAGGAAACUCGAAUCCAAUCAGGUUGAGGCAAAUAAGUUUGCUCUGAUAUGGAAUGAGAUAAUUAUGAUUUUCAGAGAAGAAGAUAUUAUUUCUGACCGAGAGCUUGAGUUAUUGGAGCUGCCCCAGAAUUCUUGGAAUGUCAGGGUUAUUCGAUGGCCUUGUUUUCUUCUCUGCAAUGAGCUACUGCUUGCCCUUAGUCAAGCCAAAGAGUUGGUAGAUGCUUCAGAUAAGUGGCUCUGGUAUAAGAUAUGCAAGAAUGAAUACAGGCGUUGUGCUGUCAUAGAAGCUUAUGAUUGUCUUAAGCACUUGGUUCGGGCCAUUCUUAAGCGUAACAGUGAAGAGCAUGCAAUAGUGACAGUUUUAUUUCAAGAGAUUGAUCAGUCUGUUCAGAGUGAGAGGUUCACCAAAACAUUUAAAACAACUGCACUUCCCCUGCUCCAUUCGAAGUUAAUUAAACUUGUUGAAUUGUUGAACAAGCCAAAGAAAGAUCCUAACCAGAUGGUAAAUACUCUACAGGCACUCUAUGAGAUUGUUGUUAGAGAUUUUUUCAAGGAGAAGAGGAGCACUGAUCAGUUGAGGGAGGAGGGUUUGGCCCCUCAAAAUCCUGAUUCAAUGGCAGGGUUACUUUUUGAAAAUGCUGUUCAAUUACCAGACCAUGAUGAUGAAACCUUUUACAGACAGGUUAGGCGCUUGCACACUAUUCUCAUUUCUCGAGACUCAAUGCAGAAUAUCCCAGUUAAUCUUGAGGCAAGGCGCAGAAUUGCUUUCUUUAGCAACUCUCUCUUUAUGAAUAUGCCCCAUGCCCCCCAAGUUGAGAAAAUGAUGGCUUUUAGUGUUCUGACCCCGUACUAUACUGAAGAAGUGGUAUACAGCAAAGAGCAACUAAGGACUGAGAAUGAAGAUGGGAUUUCUAUCCUUUAUUAUUUGCAGACAAUUUAUCAUGAUGACUGGAAAAAUUUUGUUGAGAGGAUGCGUCGAGAAGGAAUGGUGGAUGACAAAGAAUUGUGGACAACUAAGUUGCGAGAGCUUAGGCUCUGGGCAUCAAACAGAGGCCAGACACUUUCGCGAACUGUUAGGGGAAUGAUGUAUUACUAUCGAGCUCUUAAGAUGCUGGCUUUUCUGGACUCUGCAUCAGAGAUGGACAUUCGGGAAGGAGCACGAGAACUUGGUUCAAUGAGGCGAGAGAGUUUCAACUCAGAAAGGUCACCUUCAGCUAGGAGUUUAAGUAGAACAAACAGCUCUGUGAGUUUGUUAUUUAAAGGCCAUGAGUAUGGGACUGCUUUGAUGAAAUUUACGUAUGUGGUUGCUUGCCAGAUAUACGGAACACAGAAAGCAAGAAAAGAUCCUAAUGCUGAGGAGAUUUUGUAUCUAAUGAAAACCAAUGAAGCUCUUCGAGUUGCCUAUGUUGAUGAGGUCUCAACUGGAAGAGAUGGUAAAGAAUAUUAUUCUGUUCUGGUGAAGUUUGAUCAGCAGUUAAAUAAGGAGGUGGAAAUCUUCCGUGUAAAGUUGCCAGGGCCCUUGAAGCUCGGAGAGGGUAAACCAGAGAAUCAAAAUCAUGCCAUGAUUUUCACUCGUGGUGAUGCAGUUCAAACUAUUGAUAUGAACCAAGAUAAUUAUUUUGAGGAGGCUCUAAAAAUAAGGAAUCUAUUGGAAGAAUUCAGGCGAUACUAUGGUGCCCGUAAACCCACGAUCUUGGGAGUCAGGGAACAUGUUUUUACUGGUUCUGUUUCUUCACUUGCUUGGUUUAUGUCAGCUCAAGAAACAAGUUUUGUCACCUUGGGACAGCGUGUUUUAGCCAAUCCUUUAAAAGUUCGAAUGCAUUAUGGCCAUCCUGAUGUGUUUGACAGGUUUUGGUUCUUGACUCGAGGUGGUAUUAGUAAGGCUUCCAGAGUGAUCAACAUAAGUGAAGACAUCUUUGCUGGUUUUAAUUGUACACUGCGUGGAGGGAAUGUCACACACCAUGAAUACAUUCAAGUUGGAAAAGGAAGGGAUGUAGGGUUAAACCAAAUUUCCAUGUUUGAAGCUAAGGUAGCUAGUGGAAAUGGAGAGCAAGUACUGAGCAGAGAUGUCUACAGGCUGGGUCAUAGGCUUGACUUCUUCCGAAUGCUGUCUUUCUUUUACACUACUGUGGGUUUCUUUUUCAAUACAAUGUUGGUUAUUCUGACUGUAUAUGCAUUUUUAUGGAGCCGACUUUAUCUUGCUCUCAGUGGUGUUGAGGGUUCUGCUUUGGCACAAGACAGCAAUAAAGCUCUUGGGACGAUCUUGAAUCAACAGUUCAUCAUCCAACUUGGUAUUUUCACUGCCCUUCCAAUGAUAGUGGAGAACUCUCUCGAGCAAGGGUUCCUGCAGGCUAUUUGGGAUUUCUUGACAAUGCAGCUCCAGCUUUCCUCUGUUUUCUAUACAUUCUCUAUGGGAACUCGUACCCACUUUUUUGGCCGAACUAUCCUUCAUGGUGGUGCAAAGUAUCGUGCAACUGGACGAGGUUUUGUUGUUCAGCAUAAGAGCUUUGCAGAGAAUUACAGACUAUAUGCUCGCAGCCAUUUUGUGAAAGCUGUUGAACUUGGACUGAUACUUAUAGUUUAUGCAACACAUAGUGCUGUAGCUAAGGACACGUUGGUGUACAUAGCCUUAACCAUCACUAGUUGGUUUCUUGUCAUGUCAUGGAUUCUGGCUCCCUUUGUUUUUAACCCUUCUGGUUUUGACUGGCUGAAGACUGUAGAUGAUUUUGAUGAUUUUAUGAACUGGAUUUGGUUUCGUGGUAGUGUGUUUGCAAAAGCUGAACAGAGCUGGGAAAGAUGGUGGUAUGAGGAGCAGGAACAUUUGAGAACCACUGGUAUAUGGGGAAAGAUAAUGGAGAUCAUUUUAGACCUACGGUUUUUCUUUUUCCAAUAUGGUAUUGUAUACCAGCUUGAUAUUACAGCUGGAAGUACCAGUAUUGCUGUGUAUGGCUUGUCUUGGAUCUACGUCUUAGUGGCUUUUGGGAUAUACGUGGUGGUAGCAUAUGCUCGGGAUAAAUAUGCAGCAAAAGAACACAUAUACUAUCGACUUGUGCAGUUUCUUGUCAUUAUUCUCGCCAUACUUGUGAUAAUUGCCCUGUUGAAGUUCACAAAUUUCAAUUUUAUAGAUAUUUUUACCAGUAUGUUGGCCUUCGUCCCCACUGGGUGGGGCCUGUUAUUGAUUGCCCAAGUAUUCCGUCCUCUUCUGCAGAAAACUAUAUUCUGGAAUGUAGUUGUUUCUGUGGCUCGAAUGUAUGAUAUAUUAUUUGGAGUGACUAUCAUGAUUCCUAUGGCUGUACUAUCAUGGCUUCCUGGGUUUCAGUCUAUGCAGACUAGGAUCCUCUUUAAUGAAGCAUUCAGCAGGGGCCUUAGGAUAUUCCAGAUUGUCACAGGGAAGAAAUCAAAAACUGAUGUAUGAUUUCAGGACCCAUUUGUGUGAAUUUCUUUCAUCAUGUCUUUGGAUAAUUCAUCAUUCGUUGCCACACUAUUAAGCUAUAUUGACUUAUCAGGUUUAAUGUAACUUGUUGGCGCAGAGAAAGUAUAGAAGUUGAUAAACAAGGUUAUUUUGAUACGUUAGAAGUUGUUGUAUGCCAUGUUAAAGCAAUUUGUUUGUUGUUUCAAGUUAAUUUUGAGGGCAAUUCAUGUGUUGUUCAUUGCUACUACUACCCGUUCUUUCUCCCCUUGUUUGUGUAAUUAGUAGCUUAGAGAAAUUUCUUUUGGAUCUCGAUUAGCUUUGGGUUGACCACCUUUCCACCUUCAGAAAGGUUCAACUCUUUAGCAGUGUCUAUAUUGAGCAUAGCUAGCUAGUUUCAUUCAUAUCACUCAGAUUUUGUUUACCCACUACAUUUUUUAUUCUUUCCUCAGAUUGGCAGCU
This is an RNA transcript of Cannabis sativa, 6025 nucleotides long. It is a transcript of the gene named callose synthase 12, with no coding region annotated. The record is from RefSeq and is a predicted model, not a curated record. NCBI's taxonomy places the organism in Eukaryota, Viridiplantae, Streptophyta, Magnoliopsida, Rosales, Cannabaceae. The transcript is spliced from 3 exons.